Acanthosepion pharaonis is the source of this 111-nucleotide non-coding RNA. The record is from the annotation of a GenBank genome assembly. Lineage: Eukaryota; Metazoa; Mollusca; Cephalopoda; Sepiida; Sepiidae.
UAGCCAUACUAUGUUGAUACACUGGUUCAUAUCUGAUCACUGAAUUUAAGCAACAUUGAACCUGGUCAGUAUCUAGAUGGGUGACCACUUAGGAAUACCUGGUGCUGUAAG